RNAcentral lists this long non-coding RNA (2896 nucleotides) under Acyrthosiphon pisum (pea aphid). RNAcentral describes it as "uncharacterized LOC115034020". The record is from RNAcentral. Lineage: Eukaryota; Metazoa; Arthropoda; Insecta; Hemiptera; Aphididae.
CAUUAUUGUUACGGCAAUAGUUACUAUGUUGUUUUAGUUAUAUUAUGAGCGUGUAGAAUCUUCCUAUAUGCAAUUUGAGAACUUUUAGACGCUCAAAUUAGCAAAACAACAUGUUAUUAUACAUGUGAUGGGCUACAUAAUAUAAUAUUUUCUAAUUAUUAUAUUCGUACGGGUCCGGUGACUGGCAAGACUAUAUUAUGGAAUAUUAGUCAUUAAAAGACCGCAGCAAGGCCAUUCAGUUUGCUUAUACCCUUCGUUUAGAAUAAUAAAAAAAAAAUACACUGAAUAAAGUACUGUACGUUGUGACAUGAAUAUAAAUGAAGUACCUACUCAGAAAAGUGCCACUGACACUCUUAUUGUCAACAUUUUUAUUGUUAUACCAUGCGUACGUCUGUAGUACAUGCGUCGUCGUACGAUGAGUGCUCACCAAAACAUGUUAUACAUGGUUAUACCUGCAGCAGCUGUCAAUGUGGCAAGGACGGAAAACAAAAUCGUUUGAUAUGGACGUGCAAAUUUGUUAAGUCAUGGAAAAUUCAAAAGCUACCUUAAUCAUUGGCUGAAACGAAAAUCCUGCUGAACCCCGACUCUAUAUUGUCUACUACUAUCAAAUACAUUCAUUGUAGCUACUAAUUAAACUAUAUUAUCUGUUCAGUGAUCAUUAAGUUGUGCACUUCAUGUAAUAUGUGUAGGUAUAUGUAAACUGUGUAUAAUGUCAUGUAUGUUGGAAUCUCUGUGAAUCACUCCUUAGCAGGUGUGCGCGUGGGUUAAUUAUUUACUCCAGUCGAUAUAUUUUAAUGUGCUAUGCAUUUUUUUUGUUAAUUUUCUAUAUUCUAUUGAGUAGUGCUAUCUGUUAAAAAUAAUUUUCGUAAAAUCACAUAUUUCUAUAUUCUUGAAUAUCCACAAACCUAUUGUUUUAUAAUAAUUGUAUAAACAUGAUACAUCAAGGGCCGUUCUUACAUUGUCCGGUUUAGUGUCGGUUAAGAUACUAACCGGAAAAAUUCUAUCGGUAACAUAAGUCAUGUGACAACUAUCAUCGUCGUUUGUUGGUGAUCUGAAGACCAUUAUACGUACCUUCACCAACAACAAUGACGAUGAAUCGGUGGACGUUAGUAUACUGAUCAAAAAUUCCGACUUCGAUUCGAUGAGAGACAACGGUUGGCAGACGUUGGACGACUUGCAGCGAGCUGAUGUGGAAUCAGGUGGUUACGAGGUGUACCCAUUAACUGGUAAGAAUGCCAAUCAUGUCGUCGGUCGUCCGACUGCGGUCGUGAAGUUUGUGAGUCUGCUUAACGUGUUAAGUCAGUCUCGGUGACCAAACAUAUCGUCAUAACAGUCAAUGCAACAAAUCGUUACUCCAACCACUUGCACAGUCGAUCAGUCUUUGAUCCCCGCUGGUCCAACCGUGACACCGUGUACCCAUUCGAUGUGUUCAGCGUGUCGCGUUCUCUCCUACAGGUCCGUAUAAAACAAUUCAUUUGAUGUCAUAUUAUCGCCUAUAGUGGUGGCUUAGGGGAUACUUUUUCAUGGCGACUAAGGAAGACCUAUGGGAAUUGUGUUAUGUGCUUAGGGGAUGAUGUGGCACGCCGAGCACGUCGAAUGGUUAAACGAAACGGCCAAGUCAGGGUCGUAGGCUAAUCAGCUGUGCAGGAAGUUGUAGUAAGUAACGGUUUGUUCAACGGCUCAUGUCCUUAGUGCCCAGAGGCUACCCUCAGCCCACCACUUCACCAGCUCACUGGUGCCCAUCGAAACCGACUCUUGAAAUGGUCCUUGACCCGAAAUUAUGGUUGAUCGGCCAAUUGUCGAACAGACUUCAUGGCAAGUCACCCAAUCAAUUUGUCCUGUGACGGCACUAAGCAGGAACUCAAACACGUUUAAAGCGAUGUAGUUGGCUGUACACAUGUGAUGACACCCACUGCCGUGAAAUAUGCUGGAGAGUUGCAGUGAGUGUGAUGAGAGUCCACAUGGAUGUUUGAUUACAUGGUUUUACAAUGGUGGCGUAUCAGCCGACGAUGAUUAGAAGUUUGAGUUUCCCGAGUGAUAGUCUCGAGCCUUCACUCGCCAACGCGUUUUUUGCUUUAACAGCGUUUCCAAGAUGCGGUCGACUGUCAGCCGUGCAGGUGAGGCAAUUGUUAUUAUGCAAAGCUCUACCGAUAAACUGUCAGAUUCUGUGAAGAUGAUUAAAACUACUUUAAAUCUGCAGUUGGACAUGAUGAUCAGUUAUGUUCUUUUUUUGCUUAUUUUUAUUAUUGUUAAAAUUUGUUAAAAACUUUAAAUGUAUUUGAUUUUAUCGAAUAUCCAACAGUUGUAUUUUUUUCACCGUAUUUUAAGGUAUCUUUCUACAUCUGUGAUUAAUACUGCAGAUAACUACAAAAAUUACUUCUUCAAUGCUCUAAUGGUGAUUCGUAUUAUAAUAUGCAUAUCAUCUAAUGUUUCACAUCCGUUGACAUGUUUAUAGAAACUAUAUAAUACUGCAAUGUACAAGAAUUUAUACAAGAAUUUUUACAUAUUUUACAUAUUUUUGAAAAUGGAUCAUUGGAUACGUAUUCAACCUUCAAUUACUAAAAUUAUGACACACUGUAAAACGAAAGUAAAAACUGUGCAGUGACGUUACAUUUUUAAUAAUAUAGUAAUUUAUAUAAUUAUUGUGCUUUAAUAUUAAUUCUAUGUUGUAUAUCAUAAUAUGAUGUAUAUAAUAAAUAACCUAUUUAAUAUCUAUAUACAAUUAGUGCAUAUUUCAAUGUAGAUUUUAUUAUUGCCUAUUAUUUAUUUAUGGAAUAUCUAUCACAUUUGUUUUGUUUUUAUUAUUUACUUAAUUUAGAACUCUUGUCUUCUACACAAGCUUAAUCUUGGAAACUAAUUAUUUUAUAUUUAUAUUUAAUUAUCUUAAAAUGUUGUA